GUGAGGAAUAUUGGUCAAUGGGCGAGAGCCUGAACCAGCCAAGUCGCGUGAAGGAAGAAGGAUCUAUGGUUCGUAAACUUCUUUUGCAGGGGAAUAAAGUGCAGGACGUGUCCUGUUUUGUAUGUACCCUGAGAAUAAGGAUCGGCUAACUCCGUGCCAGCAGCCGCGGUAAUACGGAGGAUCCGAGCGUUAUCCGGAUUUAUUGGGUUUAAAGGGUGCGUAGGUGGUUUGAUAAGUCAGCGGUGAAAGUUUACAGCUUAACUGUAAAAAUGCCGUUGAAACUGUCGGACUUGAGUGUAAAUGAGGUAGGCGGAAUGCGUGGUGUAGCGGUGAAAUGCAUAGAUAUCACGCAGAACUCCGAUUGCGAAGGCAGCUUACUAAGCUACAACUGACACUGAAGCACGAAAGCGUGGGGAUCAAACAGGAUUAGAUACCCUUGUAGUCC
Molecule: ribosomal RNA, 445 nt
Filed under: uncultured bacterium
Lineage: Bacteria
Description: partial 16S ribosomal RNA
Rfam family: Bacterial small subunit ribosomal RNA
Source: RNAcentral